This 2930-nucleotide ribosomal RNA is filed under the name human gut metagenome. RNAcentral describes it as "bacterial LSU rRNA". It matches the Rfam family "Bacterial large subunit ribosomal RNA". The record is from RNAcentral.
UCAAGCAAAAAAGAGCGCAGGGUGGAUGCCUUGGCACUAAGAGCCGAAGAAAGACGUGAUAAGCUGCGAAAAGCUGCGGGGAGGAGCAAAUAUCCACUGAUCCGCAGAUGUCUGAAUGGGGAAACCCGCAUGAGCAACCCUCAUGCAUCCAUACGCCAAUCCAUAACGUAUGGAGGGGAACCGCCUGAACUGAAACAUCUAAGUAGGGCGAGGAAGAGAAAGAAAAUUUAUCGAUUUCCAAAGUAGCGGCGAGCGAAAUGGAAAGAGCCCAAACCGUGAUGCGUGCAUCGCGGGGUUCGGACUGCGUUGUGGCAGACGUAAGAUAGGAGAACGGACUGGGAAGUCCGGCCGGAGAGAGUGAAAGCCUCGUAUCCGAAAUCCCAAGUCGCCUAGCAGGAUCCAGAGUAGGACGAGACACGAGAAACCUUGUCUGAACGAGCGGGGACCACCCCGUAAGGCUAAAUACUUCUUAGUGACCGAUAGCGCAUAGUACUGUGAAGGAAAGGUGAAAAGUACCCCGGGAGGGGAGUGAAAGAGAACCUGAAACCCUGUGUCUACAAGCUGUGGGACCUCUUUAUAUGAGGGACUGCGUACUUUUUGUAGAACGGUCCGGCGAGUUGUGCGUACUGGCGAGGUUAAGGACUUAAGGUCUGGAGCCGAAGUGAAAGCAAGCGUUAAUAGCGCGUCAAGUCAGUGAGUGCAGACCCGAAACCGGGUGACCUAUCCAUGUCCAGGUUGAAGCUUCCGUAAGAGGAAGUGGAGGACCGAACCCACAUCCGUUGAAAAGGGUGGGGAUGAGGUGUGGAUAGCGGAGAAAUUCCAAUCGAACCCGGAGAUAGCUGGUUCUCCUCGAAAUAGCUUUAGGGCUAGCCUCGAUACAGAUUUGCGGAGGUAGAGCACUGAAUUUCCUAGGGGGCGUCAAAGCCUACCGAAGAAUAUCAAACUGCGAAUGGCGGACAGAUGAUGCCAGGGAGUCAGACUGCACGAGAUAAGUUGGGUGGUCAAAAGGGAAAGAGCCCAGACCUACAGCUAAGGUCCCAAAGUGUGUGUUAAGUGGAAAAGGAUGUGGGAUUUCGAAGACAACUAGGAUGUUGGCUCAGAAGCAGCCAUACAUUCAAAGAGUGCGUAACAGCUCACUGGUCGAGUGGACAUGCGCCGACAAUUCACGGGGCUAAGCGAUGCGCCGAAGCGGCGGAAUGUAUUUACAUUGGUAGGGGAGCUUCCCCUGCGCGGCGAAGCCGGAGGGCGACCGACGGUGGAGCGCAUGGGAGUGAGAAUGCUGGCAUGAGUAGCGAGAGACGAGAGAGUAACUCGUCCGCCGUGAACCCGAGGUUUCCUGGGCAAGGCUAAUCCUCCCAGGGUCAGUCGGGAGCUAAGGCGAGGCCGGAAGGCGUAGCCGAUGCGCAACAGGCGGACAUUCCUGUACCGCCUCGGGACCGCUAUGACCGAAGGGGCGACGGAGAAGGGUACGCAGGCGGGGUUCUGGACGCCCCCGUGAAAGCAUGUAGGCCGCAGGGCAGGCAAAUCCGCCCUGCAGAUAAGGCCGAGACGCGAGACGAAGCCGCAAGGCGAAGCUGCGGAGCCCACGCUCCCUGGAAAAACCCCUAGGCAGGGCCCGAGGCGCCCGUACCAAAACCGACACAGGUGGGCAGGUAGAGCAUACCGAGGCGAUCGGGGGAACCAUGGUCAAGGAACUCGGCACAAUGGCCCCGUAACUUCGGGAGAAGGGGUGCCCGCGCGUACGUGAACGGACUUGCUCCGGGAGCGGAGGCGGGCCGCAGUGGAGAGGCCCAAGCGACUGUUUACCAAAAACACAGGACUCUGCAGAAGCCGCAAGGCGACGUAUAGGGUCUGACGCCUGCCCGGUGCCGGAAGGUCACGCGGAGGGGUUAGCCGUUAAGGCGAGGCCCCGAAGCCAAGCCCCGGUAAACGGCGGCCGUAACUAUAACGGUCCUAAGGUAGCGAAAUUCCUUGUCGGGUAAGUUCCGACCCGCACGAAUGGUGUAACGAUCUGGGCACUGUCUCAACUACCCACCCGGCGAAAUUGUAGUACCGGUGAAGAUGCCGGUUACCUGCGGCAAGACGGAAAGACCCCAUGGAGCUUUACUGUAGCCUGAUAUUGGGUUUCGGAAAUCUAUGUACAGGAUAGGCGGGAGACUGGGAAACAUGAGCGUCAGCUUGUGUGGAGUCGAUGUUGGGAUACCGCCCUUAGGUUUCUGGAAUUCUAACCUGCGGCCGUGAAACCGGUCGGGGGACAUUGUCAGGUGGGCAGUUUGACUGGGGCGGUCGCCUCCGAAAAGGUAACGGAGGCGCUCAAAGGUUAGCUCAGCACGGACGGAAACCGUGCCUCUGAGUGUAAACGCAAAAGCUAGCCUAACUGCGAGGGUGACGGCCCGAGCAGUAACGAAAGUUGGAGUUAGUGAUCCGGCGGUAUGUGAAUGGAAAUGCCGUCGCUCAACGGAUAAAAGCUACCCUGGGGAUAACAGGCUGAUCUCCCCCAAGAGUCCACAUCGACGGGGAGGUUUGGCACCUCGAUGUCGGCUCAUCACAUCCUGGGGCUGUAUUCGGUCCCAAGGGUUCGGCUGUUCGCCGAUUAAAGUGGUACGCGAGCUGGGUUCAGAACGUCGCGAGACAGUUCGGUCCCUAUCUGUCGUGGGCGCAGGAUAUUUGAGGAGCUCUGUCCUUAGUACGAGAGGACCGGGAUGGACGUACCUCUGGUGCACCAGUUGUCAUGCCAAUGGCACGGCUGGGCAGCUAUGUACGGAACGGAUAAACGCUGAAAGCAUCUAAGCGUGAAGCCGACUCCAAGAUUAGAUAUCCCAUCGUAUAACGAGUAAGACCCCUUGAAGACUACGAGGUUGAUAGGCUGCGUGUGUAAGUGCCGUGAGGCAUUCAGCUUGGCAGUACUAAUAGGUCGAGGGCUUGACCAC